GACACUUGCCAGAAAACUUUUUUUUUUUUUUUAAGCAUCCAAUCUUACAAAAAGAUCCACGCCAAGUGAUCAAACAUUAGUCACUUAAUGGUCAACAUCGCUACACAUCAAACGCUAGAAACAAUGGCAAAACUUCAAAGAGCCUUCGAGAGACCUGGAGCUGUGCAAGUCAUAGUAAAAUCACCUCCCUGGUCUCUUUUCAAACAGAGCUAAUUGUUGAUUUACCUUUAAGUCUAUCUAAACAAACAACAACAACAACAAAAAGAACCUUACAAAUUUUAUUUCAUCAAACGUUCUUUAAGAGACUCAGCAGUAGGCAGACAAACCACAGUUGUCCAUUAUGCAAAAUGAGAAGCUUGCACUUCCUUGACCAUUAAAACUUAUUUCAGCUUCUCCAAAAGAAAGUGUUAACUAAUAAAGAUCACUCCUAACCAGUAAUAUUCCAAAUUUAAGUCCUGCAAUUCUUGAGCCUACAUAAUGAAAAUACCAAUUGUCACAACUGCCACAAACAUCUCGCAAUAAAAAAAAAUCAGAACCAUACCUUAUUGCGAUAUGUGAUAAAUAACUGUAAACAUGCAGCAGUCUCUCUCAUGACAAUACUAAUUAUCACAGCGGUAUAAAUAGCAGAGGGGAAUGAAUCAUUCUCUGAUAUGUGCAGAAGGUACACAAGCAGAAAUCUUGGUGACUGAUCACAGGCUGCUGCCUGCGAUUGUUGCUGCCCUCUCUUUGUUUUCAGACAAAUAAACUGCACUAAACCCAAAAGCUGCAAACACGGGCACCUUUCACACCAUCAUAUUUUCCAACUUAUUAAAACUUGCUCAGUAUCUGAUGUUGACUGUCAUUUAGAGAGGAACUGGUGUAAGAGGAAGAAGUGGGAAAUUUGCUG
Oxyura jamaicensis (ruddy duck) is the source of this 886-nucleotide long non-coding RNA. RefSeq lists it as uncharacterized. The transcript has 3 exons. NCBI's taxonomy places the organism in Eukaryota, Metazoa, Chordata, Aves, Anseriformes, Anatidae. The record is from RefSeq and is a predicted model, not a curated record.